Molecule: ribosomal RNA, 353 nt
Filed under: Gammaproteobacteria bacterium
Lineage: Bacteria; Pseudomonadati; Pseudomonadota; Gammaproteobacteria
Description: bacterial SSU rRNA
Rfam family: Bacterial small subunit ribosomal RNA
Source: RNAcentral
AAACUGGAGAGUUUGAUCCUGGCUCAGAUUGAACGCUGGCGGUAGGCCUAACACAUGCAAGUCGAACGGCAGCAGACCGUGACAAUCCCUUCGGGGUGCGUUUGGUGCUGGCGAGUGGCGGACGGGUGAGUAACACGUAGGAAUCUGCCAAACAGUGGGGGACAACCCGGAGAAAUCCGGGCUAAUACCGCAUACGCCCUACGGGGGAAAGCGGGGGACCUUCGGGCCUCGCGCUGUUUGAGGAGCCUGCGUCGGAUUAGCUUGUUGGUGAGGUAAAGGCUCACCAAGGCAACGAUCCGUAGCUGGUCUGAGAGGAUGAUCAGCCACACUGGGACUGAGACACGGCCCAGACU